UACGGAGGGUGCAAGCGUUGUCCGGAUUUAUUGGGUUUAAAGGGUGCGUAGGCGGCCCGUUAAGUCAGUGGUGAAAGCCUCCAGCUCAACUGGAGAACUACCAUUGAUACUGGCGGGCUUGAGUACAGACGAGGUUGGCGGAAUUGAUUGUGUAGCGGUGAAAUGCAUAGAUACAAUCAAGAACACCGAUUGCGUAGGCAGCUAACUAGGCUGUAACUGACGCUGAGGCACGAAAGCGUGGGGAGCGAACAGG
RNAcentral lists this ribosomal RNA (253 nucleotides) under uncultured bacterium. RNAcentral's name for it is "partial 16S ribosomal RNA". It matches the Rfam family "Bacterial small subunit ribosomal RNA", at positions 524 to 776 of the family's 1533-position model. The record is from RNAcentral.